Non-coding RNA from Brachypodium distachyon (stiff brome), 94 nucleotides. The record is from Rfam. Lineage: Eukaryota; Viridiplantae; Streptophyta; Magnoliopsida; Poales; Poaceae.
CAACUACUCCCUCCGUCCCAAAAUAAGUGUCGUGAAUUUGUAUAAGAUCUUGUACAAAUCCACGACAGUUAUUUUGGGACGGAGGGAGUACUAC